CCUACGGGUGGCAGCAGUGAGGAAUAUUGGUCAAUGGGCUAGGGCCUGAACCAGCCAAGUCGCGUGAGGGAAGACGGUCCUAUGGAUUGUAAACCUCUUUUGUCGGGGAGCAACGAGGCCACGUGUGGCCGAGGUGAGAGUACCCGAAGAAAAAGCAUCGGCUAACUCCGUGCCAGCAGCCGCGGUAAUACGGAGGAUGCGAGCGUUAUCCGGAUUUACUGGGUGUAAAGGGAGCGUAGGCGGUACUGCAAGUUGGCUGUCAAAUCUACCGGCUCAACCGGUAUCCGCACUCGAAACUGCAGUUCUUGAGUGAGGUAGAGGCAGGCGGAAUGCGUGGUGUAGCGGUGAAAUGCGUAGAUAUUAGGAAGAACUCCAGUGGCGAAGGCAGCCUGCUGGGCUUUUACUGACGCUGAGGCUCGAAAGUGUGGGGAUCGAACAGGAUUAGAUACCCGAGUAGUC
This 459-nucleotide ribosomal RNA is filed under the name uncultured bacterium. RNAcentral's name for it is "partial 16S ribosomal RNA". It matches the Rfam family "Bacterial small subunit ribosomal RNA", at positions 338 to 795 of the family's 1533-position model. The record is from RNAcentral.